UCCUUUACGAAGGCGAAGUGGUUGAUGCCCUGCUUCCAAGAAAAGCCUCUAAGCUUCAGGUAACCAGGAACCGUACCCCAAACCGACACAGGUGGUCGGGUAGAGAAUACCAAGGCGCUUGAGAGAACUCGGGUGAAGGAACUAGGCAAAAUGGCACCGUAACUUCGGGAGAAGGUGCGCCGGUGAGGGUCAAGGAUUUACUCCGUAAGCCCAUGCCGGUCGAAGAUACCAGGCCGCUGCGACUGUUUAUUAAAAACACAGCACUCUGCAAACACGAAAGUGGACGUAUAGGGUGUGACGCCUGCCCGGUGCCGGAAGGUUAAUUGAUGGGGUUAGCGCAAGCGAAGCUCUUGAUCGAAGCCCCGGUAAACGGCGGCCGUAACUAUAACGGUCCUAAGGUAGCGAAAUUCCUUGUCGGGUAAGUUCCGACCUGCACGAAUGGCGUAACGAUGGCGGCGCUGUCUCCACCCGAGACUCAGUGAAAUUGAAAUCGCUGUGAAGAUGCAGUGUAUCCGCGGCUAGACGGAAAGACCCCGUGAACCUUUACUGUAGCUUUGCACUGGACUUUGAGCCUGCUUGUGUAGGAUAGGUGGGAGGCUUUGAAGUGGGGACGCCAGUUCCCAUGGAGCCAUCCUUGAAAUACCACCCUGGCAUGCUUGAGGUUCUAACUCCGGUCCGUCAUCCGGAUCGAGGACAGUGUAUGGUGGGCAGUUUGACUGGGGCGGUCUCCUCCAAAGCGUAACGGAGGAGUACGAAGGUGCGCUCAGCGUGGUCGGAAAUCACGCGCAGAGUAUAAAGGCAAAAGCGUGCUUGACUGCGAGACGACAGUCGAGCAGGUGCGAAGCAGGUCAUAGUGAUCCGGUGGUUCUGUAUGGAAGGGGCACGCUCACGGAUAAAAGGUACUCUGGGGAUACAGGCUGAUCCGCCCAAGAGUCAUAUCGACGGCGGUGUUUGGCACCUCGAUGUCGGCUCAUCUCAUCCUGGGGCUGUAGCCGGUCCCAAGGGUAUGGCUGUUCGCCAUUUAAAGAGGUACGUGAGCUGGGUUUAAAACGUCGUGAGACAGUUUGGUCCCUAUCUGCCGUGGGCGUUGGAAGUUUGAAGGGGGCUGCUCCUAGUACGAGAGGACCGGAGUGGACGAACCUCUGGUGUACCGGUUGUGACGCCAGUCGCAUCGCCGGGUAGCUAUGUUCGGAAGAGAUAACCGCUGAAAGCAUCUAAGCGGGAAACUCGCCUUAAGAUGAGACUUCCCCGGGGACUUGAUCCCCUUGAAGGGUCGUUCGAGACCAGGACGUUGAUAGGUCGGGUGUGUAAGCGCAGUAAUGCGUUCAGCUAACCGAUACUAAUUGCCCGUACGGCUUGAUC
This 1362-nucleotide ribosomal RNA is filed under the name Burkholderia pseudomallei 305. RNAcentral's name for it is "bacterial LSU rRNA". It matches the Rfam family "Bacterial large subunit ribosomal RNA", at positions 1573 to 2925 of the family's 2925-position model. The record is from RNAcentral. Lineage: Bacteria; Pseudomonadati; Pseudomonadota; Betaproteobacteria; Burkholderiales; Burkholderiaceae.